This is a long non-coding RNA of Oncorhynchus nerka (sockeye salmon), 3486 nucleotides long. RefSeq lists it as uncharacterized. Lineage: Eukaryota; Metazoa; Chordata; Actinopteri; Salmoniformes; Salmonidae. The transcript has 2 exons. The record is from RefSeq and is a predicted model, not a curated record.
UGUUUUCCUAAAAAACAGAAUGCCUUAUUGACAUAAGUAUUCAAACCCUUUGCUAUGAGACUUGAAAUUGAGCUCAGGUGCAUCCUGUUUUCAUUGAUCAUCAUUGAGGAGUUUCUUGAUUAGAGUCCACCUGUGGUAAAUUCUAUUGAUUGGACAUGAUUUGGAAAGGCACACACCUGUCCCAGUUGACAGUGUAUGUCUGAGCAAAAACCCAGCUAUGAGGUCGAAGGAAUUGUCUGUAGAGCUCCGAGACAGGAUUGUUUCAAAACACAGAUCUGGGGAAUGGUACCAAAAAAUGUCUGCAGCAUUGAAGGUUCUCAAGAACACAGUUGCCUCCAUCAUUCUUAAAUGGAAUACGUUUGGAACCACCAAGACUAUUCCUAGAGCUGGCCGCCUGGCCAAACUGAGCAAUCGGGGGAGAAGGGCCUUGGUCAGGGACCAAGAACCUGAUGGACACUCUGACAGAGUUCCUCUGUGGAGAUGGGAGAAACUUCCAGAAGGACAACCAUCUCUGCAGCACUCAGGCCUUUAUGGUAGAGUGACCAGACGGAAGCCACUCCUCAGUAAAAAGCACAUGGCAGCCCACUUGGAGUUUGUCAAAAGGCACCUAAAGGACUCUCAGACCAUGGGGAACAAGAUUAUCUGGUCUGAUGAAACCAAGAUUGAACUCUUUGGCCUGAAUGCCAAGCGUCACGUCUGGAGGAAACCAAUACCAUCCCUAUGGUGAAGCAUGGUGGUGGUAGCAUCAUGUUGUAUGGAUGUUUUUCAGCGGCAGGAACUGGAAUCAAGGGAAAGAUGAACGGCGCAAAGUACAGAGAUCCUUGAUGAAAACCUGAUUCAGAACCCUCAGACUGGGGCGAAGGUUCACCUUCCAACAGGACAACGACCCUAAGCACACAGCUAAGACAACGCCGGAGUGGCUUCUGGACAAGUCUCUGUUCUUUCUUUGUCAUUAUGGGAUAUUGUGUGUAGACAACUAAACCUUUUUUUACUUAAUUAGUGAAGUCUGCAAAAGUCAACUCUGUUUGUAACAUUCUAGUUUUGGGAACAGAAAAUUGUAUGUAGAUCAAAUGUUUCAUCGAUGAGAAAAUUAGCAGAAUGUAGGCCAAAAUCCAUCUUGAUCCAUCUUCUCCCACUGCCGGCAACUGGGCUUCCUCUCACUACCAUGCAUUGUAGUGAGUGGAAACGCCAAGCGGACGCUUCACAUGUAUACAUCCAGUGAAAUAUCUGUCUCAUUCGUCUAUCUGUGGCUGAACUGAGGUCCAUACUCCAGUCCAGGUGGUGGUAAUGCACCUUUAAGUUGGAUUCCAACCAAUAAAGACCAUAGAGGAAGACCAAAAUAGGCAAGAUUACUAGAAACCAACUAGGUUUUCCCUUUUAUCUGUAGAUUAAUUGUCGGAGUAGAGAACACAGGAUUUUGUGUGACUCAAAAUGGAUCAAAAUUCUACAAAGAUCAAGGGAAAAAAGGACCUUGUGCGUUUCCGAUAAAACAUCAACCUGAUGUUUACACCCCAGGAUAAAUUAGCUAGCAACUGCAAACUAACUAGCUAAAUGUCCAUGAAUGUAUCGACCUGUCCCCAAAUGAAUAUAGUUGGUUCAGAGUCCGUUUUGAUAUUUCAACCUUCUUAUCCUGAUCGCGUCUGGUGUGGCUGGACCAAAAUCAACAUGCGCGUGCCCUGUGACAGUACCACUACAUAUUCGUAGAAAGCUAGCACGUGACUGAAGUGCUGCCUGAUUGUGAUGUCAAAUGCCGGUGCCUCUAAAAUGAUGUGACCUUCCAUUACCCCCACACUAGGACUAUUCCAUAAGCAACCGAUAGAUGACAAUUCCUUGGCAGGUUUAAAAAGAUGUUAUUCAAAGGUAAUAAUCGUGACUCAUUUUGUUUUACCUUGCGACCGUAUCACUGCUGCUGGUAUUCUGCUAAAAUUAUGAUAGACCGGUAAGUUUAAUGUGAGUAGGACAGCGUGUCCUGGGCUUUGAAAAAUAGGAAUUGCGUAAACCUAACCUGCAAUUCGGAAACAAUUGACUAAGGCUGUGCCCCUCCAUCCAUGUCAUUUUAGAUUCUUUCAUUUAUAAUGGAUUUGGAUUAAAGUGUAUGGUUUUUUAGGUAGUUAGAUAUGUAUGGCAGAUCAUUGACCUCUUCUUAGCUUGCUAUAGCUAGCUAGCUCAGCAUCACUGACAGCUCCUUGUCAAUAAUAGCGGCAAAUUACUAACUUGAACAAACUAACAGCACUACCCAUCUGACGAGCCAACUCACCUGUCAGCUUUCUUCUAUAGAAAAAUGUGUUGUCGCAGUAAGAAACCCAAUUACAAUUAGCUAACUUGUUUUUGUUUUAACUAUAAAUUACAUAUUGGUUCGCUAAAUCAACAGAUUGUUAGUAGAAUACCAGCAGCAGUGAUACAAGCCCGCGAUGUCGGCUACAAUGCUCCGUUGAUGGUUAGCUAACUUUAGCUGGCUGAGCUAGCUCAGGGCAGUGUGGAAAAUUUGGCCCGUGUAGUUAUAUCUUUGAGCAAAAAGUUGUUGAUUUGGUAGCUAGAUCACGUCAUCUCAAAUGACCUUUCGAUGGUAGAAUCACCUUCAUCAGGGAGGUGACCCAGUUGCUUGCUGUUAGUCAACUGAAUAUUGCCCAGACUAAUCCAGACCAAGUCCUGGAUAACGUUAGGUGAUACACCAGAGUGUAGCUAACCUAACGUGUUCUGUAUCUUCCACUAGGUUACUAUGAGUGACAUUGCAAAGGGAAAGAAGGCCUUCGUUCAGAAAUGCGAACAGUGCCACACUGUCAAAGACGGUGGGAAGCACAAAGUGGGUCCAAACCUUUGGGGUCUGUUCGGACGUAAGACUGGUCAGGCUGAGGGCUACUCCUACACGGACGCCAACAAGAGCAAAGGCAUUACUUGGGGUGAAGCCACCCUGAUGGAGUACUUGGAAAACCCUAAUUAAUACAUUCCAGGAACAAAGAUUAUCUUUGCUGGCAUCAAGAAGAAUGGCGAGCGCCAAGAUCUUGUUGCAUAUUUGUAGUCUGCGACAUCAUAAAACAUUGUAUUUGAAGAUAAAUAUUUAAGUUCAAUGUGUUUUUAGUUUGAGUUUGCGCUCCCUUUUUGAUCUGUACUUCAAUGACACAAAAUCACUAUUUAAUGGCCAGGACUCAUCCAUCUUUGUGUUGUCAUGGAAUUUGUCCUUUGUGUUGUCAUGGAAUUUGUCCUAUGCCAGACCUAUCUUACUUGUGAACAGAAUCCAAUAUUACUUGAUGUAAUAUUGAGAUAUCAGUCAUGGUUGAUCAGCUGGUGGUUACUGAAGGCCCCUGGUUCUCCCUCCUGAAGGAAUGACAAUAUAUUCCCUGGUUUCACAGGAGUUGUUGAAAGUUAAGUUAGUUUACUUUAAUGAAAGUUAUAAGUAUUCCAGAAGGCUGUUGGUAAUUGUGAAGUGGCUAUAUGCACUAUGGUUAUGUACCUGAAGGAAUUGAUCAAUAAAGUGCUGACAUUUGA